GAUGCGAUUGCUAGAAUGGAAAAUGCAGCUGAACAAGGUAUUGCUAUAGCUGCUGCUAUGGAAGGGGUCGAACGGCAGUGGGGAAACGAAUUUGCAGGUCCACACACCUUAAUAGAAAAUCUUCGAGACCACAUGUUCAAGCCUUCCUUGUCAACUAUCAUAACUGAAAAUAGCAGUGUUCCAUCAGUAUCUCCUUCAGAUCUGGUAACUCUUGCUGCCAAAAAGAUGAGAGAGUACCGAGUUAACUCAGUGGUUGUCAUGACAGGGAACAUGCUGCAAGGCAUUCUCACUUCCAAGGAUUUGGUUUUGCGAGUAGUGGCACAAAAUCUGUCCCCAGAGGUAACUCUCGUAGAAAAGGUCAUGACUGCAAGUCCUGAUUGUGCUACAUUGGACACAUCAAUCCUCGAGGCUCUACAAUCAAUGCACGAUAGAAAAUAUCGUCAUAUUCUUGUUGCAGACAGAAGAGGACAGAUUGUCGCCUGUUUGGACGCUCUACAGUUAACCCACACAGCCAUCUCCAUGGUCGAGGGAGCCUAUGGGGCAAACGAUGUGGCAAAUACCUUGGUUCAGAAGUUUGGGGAUUCAGCACUUGCCUUGCAUCCUGCAGAAGAGUACGACUGGCAUAGUGACGAAUCUCGUACGGCAGCCUCAGACAGUGCUGAAGGGAAGCAAACACCUCCUCAUGUUGGCAAUGCAUUCUCUUUCUAAAUUGAAGACAGAAAAGGGUGGAUGCACAGAUUCAGUUGCGUUUCAGAAAGCUUAGAUGAGCUUGUGUCUGCUAUUGCAUACAGAUUAGGAACAGAAAACGAGAAGGCGAAUGUAAACCUUCUGUACGAUGAUGAUGAAGGUGACAGAGUUCUUCUGGAUACCGAUGGUGAUCUCGUUGCAGCGAUUGAGCAUGCCAGAUCAGCCGGAUGGAAGGUUCUGAGGCUGCACAUGGACUACGGGUCAGAGACCGGCGCAGAGUCCACUCCGACGGCGUCUGUAGAUACCUCGACGGCAAGGAGAGGCUGGCCGUCCCUAUGGCUAGGUAGAGUGGGCAGCGCAGCUGCUGUUGCGGGCGUCGGGGUAAUCGUCUACUUGAGAUGCUCCCGGCAAUGA
This 1101-nucleotide ribosomal RNA is filed under the name Triticum aestivum (bread wheat). RNAcentral describes it as "partial small subunit ribosomal RNA". The record is from RNAcentral. Lineage: Eukaryota; Viridiplantae; Streptophyta; Magnoliopsida; Poales; Poaceae.